This 285-nucleotide long non-coding RNA is filed under the name Triticum aestivum (bread wheat). RNAcentral's name for it is "long non-coding RNA (TAES_LNC027438)". The record is from RNAcentral. Lineage: Eukaryota; Viridiplantae; Streptophyta; Magnoliopsida; Poales; Poaceae.
GAUUAACUAGAGAGAUCCUUGGUCGACAAGCAGCUGCAACACACACCAUCGGGGUGAGUAGCAGCAGUAGCAGCACGCAGCGUGAGGAGCAGUGGCUAAUGGUACCAGCAGCGCGGACCGGCGACGAGCAGCAGCAACACGCAAUAGGGAGGAGCAGCAACAAUAGCAGCACGCACCGGCGGCGAGCAGCAUCAACGUAGCAGUGGCGGGCAACAGCGACACGCAAUGGCCGUACCAUCAGUAGUACGGUAGGGGUCGCCGGAAAGGCCAUGGGAGCUUCACGUG